UAUGUGAUCGUCUCUCGCAUAUCAAUAAGCGGAGGAAAAGAAACUAACAAGGAUUCCCCUAGUAACGGCGAGUGAAGCGGGAAGAGCUCAAAUUUGAAAUCUUAAAGGGUUUCCCUUUACGAAUUGUAGUUUAAAGAAGUGUUUUCUGUUGAGGUUUUGGUAAAAGUUCUUUGGAAUAGGACAUCAUAGAGGGUGAGAAUCCCGUAUUUGACCUUUACUUUCAACUUUGUGAUACACUUUCAAAGAGUCGGAUUGUUUGGGAAUGCAGUCCAAAACUGGGUGGUAAAUUUCAUCUAAAGCUAAAUAUUGGCGAGAGACCGAUAGCGAACAAGUACCGUGAGGGAAAGAUGAAAAGAACUUUGAAAAGAGAGUUAAACAGUACGUGAAAUUGUCAAGAGGGAAGCGUUUGACACCAGUGUUGUUUUUCUGAAAAUCAAUUAAAGAACUGUUUAUGCUAAGUUGUUUAGACUUUAUCAGCUAUCUGUUUAGUUUUGAGCUUUUCUUUAAUGCACUUUUCAGUUAACAAGUCAACAUCAAUUUCUUUUGCUGUAAAAAAGCUUGAGGAAGGUGGCUUGAGAUUCGUCUUAAGUGUUUAUAGCCUCUUGCCUAUGCAGUCGGAGAGAUUGAGGUCUGCAGCGUAGAUCCUUCGGGGCUAAAUGCAUUUGUGCUAAGUUAUAACAUUUUAUAGACAACUUGUUGACUAUGAUUUGUCUUGUAGCUUACUCGCUUAUGUUAUUUUACCUACGCUUAGGAUGUUGAAGUCAUCGUAUCGCGC
RNAcentral lists this ribosomal RNA (775 nucleotides) under uncultured Neocallimastigales. Its description in RNAcentral is "partial large subunit ribosomal RNA". It matches the Rfam family "Eukaryotic large subunit ribosomal RNA", at positions 24 to 645 of the family's 3401-position model. The record is from RNAcentral. Lineage: Eukaryota; Fungi; Neocallimastigomycota; Neocallimastigomycetes; Neocallimastigales.